UCAGAGGGUGUGAUGGCAUACUUCACCUGCACAACAGGGGGUCCUUUCACAAAGACAGCUCCAGGACAUUAUGGAUUCCCACAUAUUUUAUGCUGGCGACAGCAGAACAACAGAAUUUCUCUUUGUAUCUCUUGCUGUGGGAUUUUGUUGGUGAUGUAUAAACAUGGGUGCAGUGGUGGCCUUCAUCUGCACAGCAGGGGGUCCUCCUCCAAAGACAGCUCCAGGACAUGGUCUCCCUCAGACAAAUUCAUUGGAAAAUUUGGGAACCAUUCAAUGGAACAGGUCUCCCUCAGUACACAUGGAUUGGAAAACCUAGAAAACCUGGAUAACCUGGGAAAGCAUCAAUAGAACAGAUCAUUAAAAGGGAUUGCCAAAUAUUUUAUGCUGUCGACAGUUAUUUUGAAUGGAAUUUCUCUUGCAUCUCUUGCUGUUGGAUUUUGUUGGUGAUGUAUAAACAUGCUGAGGAUUUAUGGGGUUUUAUUUUAUAUCCUGCAACUUUUCUAACUUUAUGAAUUAUUUCUAAUAGCUUUUUGGUAGAAUCUCUGGGGCUCUCUAAGUAUACCAUCACAUCAUCUGCAAAGAGUGAUAGUUUGGUUUCCUCACUGCCUACUCUAAUUCCUUUAAUCUCUUAGCCAUUUUGGUGGGGAUGAAAAGGGAUCUCAAAAGACAAAACCAGGGGUCUCAUGACUAACACGGGGCUAAUUUUCAAAGGGUGCACUGACAGCCUUCAUCUACACAGCAGGGGGUCCUCCUCCAAAGACAGCUCCAGGACAUGGUGAGUGAUUUCUGUGUAGCCCUAAAAGCCCUCCCUAAAGCACCAGCUCUCAAGGCCAGCAAGGGGAAACUCUUAGAGAAAUAAUAGGGCUUCUCCCUAGGGAACCUGGAUUGGGAAAGGGAGAGUUGCAGAGAAAAACUUUCUGCACUCUAGGGUUUCUUCCAUCAUAUACCAAUUCUCAUCAAUAUUGUGGAGGUCUAGAGAUCCCAGCUGGAAAUUCUCCACAAAUGCCUGUAUAGAUCUGCCUCAGAAAAUGUCAAUUACAAAUAUGAGGAAAUCAUCUGUAGAACAGCAGGGUUUCCUCCUAUAAGCAAAGCUCCAGAACAUGGACAAACAUAGAGAGUCCUCCCUAAAGCAACAGCUCUCAUCCAUCGUGGGCAGAGACACUUAGCAAAAUAACAGAAUUCCUCCCCACGGAAACAGUGUGUUUAGGGAAAACCCUUAGCUGAAUACUAAGACAGUUUUC
This 1241-nucleotide long non-coding RNA is filed under the name Sarcophilus harrisii (Tasmanian devil). RNAcentral's name for it is "lncRNA (ENSSHAG00000029789.1)". The record is from RNAcentral. Lineage: Eukaryota; Metazoa; Chordata; Mammalia; Dasyuromorphia; Dasyuridae.